AUUGAACGCUGGCGGAAUGCUUUACACAUGCAAGUCGAGCGGCAGCGCGGGGCAACCUGGCGGCGAGCGGCGAACGGGUGAGUAAUACAUCGGAACGUGCCCAGACGUGGGGGAUAACUACUCGAAAGAGUGGCUAAUACCGCAUACGAUCUACGGAUGAAAGCGGGGGAUCGCAGGACCUCGCGCGUCUGGAGCGGCUGAUGGCGGAUUAGGUAGUUGGUGGGAUAAAAGCCUACCAAGCCAACGAUCUGUAGCUGGUCUGAGAGGAUGAUCAGCCACACUGGGACUGAGACACGGCCCAGACUCCUACGGGAGGCAGCAGUGGGGAAUUUUGGACAAUGGGCGAAAGCCUGAUCCAGCCAUUCCGCGUGCAGGAUGAAGGCCCUCGGGUUGUAAACUGCUUUUGUACAGAACGAAAAGCUCUGGCUAAUACCUGGAGUCCAUGACGGUACUGUAAGAAUAAGCACCGGCUAACUACGUG
This 481-nucleotide ribosomal RNA is filed under the name uncultured bacterium. RNAcentral's name for it is "bacterial SSU rRNA". It matches the Rfam family "Bacterial small subunit ribosomal RNA", at positions 30 to 507 of the family's 1533-position model. The record is from RNAcentral.